CCUACGGGUGGCAGCAGUGGGGAAUAUUGCACAAUGGGCGAAACCCUGAUGCAGCAACGCCGCGUGAGGGAAGAAGUCUUUCGGUAUGUAAAGCUCUAUUAGCAGGGAAGAAAAUGACAGUACCAGACUAAGAAGCCCCGGCUAACUACGGGCCAGCAGCCGCGGUAAUCCGUAGGGGGCAAGCGUUAUCCGGAUUUACUGGGGGUAAAGGGAGCGUAGACGGCUGCGAAAGACAGAAGUGAAAACACGGGGCUCAACCGCGGGACUGCUUUUGAAACUGUAUGGCGUGAGUGCAGGAGAGGAAAGUGGAAUUCCUGGUGUAGCGGUGAAAUGCGUAGAUAUUAGGAGGAACCCCGGUGGCGAAGGCGGCUUUCUGGACUGUAACUGACGUUGAGGCUCGAAAGCGUGGGGAGCAAACAGGAUUAGAUACCCCAGUAGUC
This 440-nucleotide ribosomal RNA is filed under the name uncultured bacterium. RNAcentral's name for it is "partial 16S ribosomal RNA". It matches the Rfam family "Bacterial small subunit ribosomal RNA", at positions 338 to 795 of the family's 1533-position model. The record is from RNAcentral.